RNAcentral lists this ribosomal RNA (253 nucleotides) under uncultured bacterium. RNAcentral's name for it is "partial 16S ribosomal RNA". It matches the Rfam family "Bacterial small subunit ribosomal RNA", at positions 524 to 776 of the family's 1533-position model. The record is from RNAcentral.
GACGGAGGAUGCAAGCGUUAUCCGGAAUGAUUGGGCGUAAAGCGUCCGCAGGUGGCAGUUCAAGUCUGCUGUCAAAGACCGGGGCUUAACUUCGGAAAGGCAGUGGAAACUGAACAGCUAGAGUAUGGUAGGGGCAGAGGGAAUUCCUGGUGUAGCGGUGAAAUGCGUAGAGAUCAGGAAGAACAUCGGUGGCGAAGGCGCUCUGCUGGACCAUAACUGACACUCAGGGACGAAAGCUAGGGGGAGCAAUGGG